AGAGUUUGAUCCUGGCUCAGAACGAACGCUGGCGGCGUGCCUAACACAUGCAAGUCGAACGUGAUUGGAAGCUUGCUUCCAUGAAAGUGGCGCACGGGUGAGUAACGCGUAGAUAAUCUACCUGAUGAUCCGGGAUAACACUUCGAAAGGGGUGCUAAUACCUGAUAAGCCCACGGGGUCUUCGGACUCUGCGGGAAAAGGGGGGGACCUUCGGGCCUUCCGUCAUCAGAUGAGUCUGCGUACCAUUAGCUAGUUGGUAGGGUAAAGGCCUACCAAGGCGACGAUGGUUAGCUGGUCUGAGAGGAUGAUCCGCCACACUGGAACUGGAACACGGACCAGACUCCUACGGGAGGCAGCAGUGAGGAAUAUUGCGCAAUGGGGGCAACCCUGACGCAGCGACGCCGCGUGGAUGAUGAAGGCCUUCGGGUCGUAAAAUCCUGUCAAGUGGAAAGAAGUGCAUAGUGGUUAAUACCUGCUAUGUUUGACGGUACCACUGAAGGAAGCACCGGCUAACUCCGUGCCAGCAGCCGCGGUAAUACGGAGGGUGCAAGCGUUGUUCGGAAUUACUGGGCGUAAAGCGCGCGUAGGCGGUUUUACAAGUCAGAUGUGAAAGCCCAUGGCUCAACCAUGGACGUGCAUUUGAAACUGUAAGACUUGAGUAUUGGAGGGGGUGGUGGAAUUCCCGGUGUAGAGGUGAAAUUCGUAGAUAUCGGGAGGAAUACCAGUGGCGAAGGCGACCACCUGGCCAAAUACUGACGCUCAUGUGCGAAAGCGUGGGGAGCAAACAGGAUUAGAUACCCUGGUAGUCC
This 809-nucleotide ribosomal RNA is filed under the name uncultured bacterium. RNAcentral's name for it is "bacterial SSU rRNA". It matches the Rfam family "Bacterial small subunit ribosomal RNA", at positions 8 to 796 of the family's 1533-position model. The record is from RNAcentral.